This is a non-coding RNA of Cricetulus griseus (Chinese hamster), 1225 nucleotides long. NCBI's taxonomy places the organism in Eukaryota, Metazoa, Chordata, Mammalia, Rodentia, Cricetidae. The record is from RefSeq and is a predicted model, not a curated record.
AGCUGAAACCUUGGACACAAAGACACAGCUAGGACCAAACCAGCCUGGCAGACAGAUGCCUAGAAGGAUAAUUCCCUGACCUCUCUCCUCCUGCUCUUGGAUCUCCUGAAGCAUCUUGCCUUUGCUGAACCCAACUAAAGCUAGGGAACUUGGUGAUGCAAUCCCUACCAGUCAACUUCCACACAAUGUAGGGAAGAAGAUUCCUAUAAAGAAGCUGAUGAGGAUUGGCGGGGACUCUUUUCACACACCCCAUGUUUCUCACAUGAAACCCACCCACAGCCUCUUUGCUCCCCAUGAAUUGACCUUUGCUGUUCCUCCUCUGAUGUGCAAAGAAAAGGUUUCUCAGAAAUGAAGGCAUGUGCAACCGUAUCCUAUUAGAAGUUAAACUCCAGUAGCAUGAAGAUUUUAAUCUGAUUAUGCACUGGGAUAGUCCUAGAAAUCCAAUCCCUGGAUUACAAGAACUGUCUGUUGGACCAAAAGUGUGGAGCCACCUUCUAAAACAAACCUACUGAUCCCAAAAUGUUGGAGAUGCCAGAGUUGUGGGAUACCUUUCGAGGAGAGCUGUUAACAGGAGUGGAACCAGCAGUCAACACAGCUGAAAGGAGUUGGAGAUUUGAAAAGCAUUUUGACAUCAGACAUGGAGAUGCAGUUUGGAGUUUGUCCAGCUGGUUUUCAGUCUUGCUUUGGUCCAGUAUGUCUUCACUAUUCUCCCUUCUCUGCAUUUUGGAAUGGUAAUGCAUGUCCUGUGUUGGAAGUAUUCGAUCUGCUUUUUGAUUUUACAGAGGAUUACAGAUUGCAUGAAUCUCAGAAGAGAUAUUGAACUUUAGACUUUUAAAUAAGUUUGAGACUGUUAUAGAUCAUGGGGACUUUAGAAGUUGGACUGAAUGCAUUCUUUUGCAUUAUGAUACGGCUAUAAGCCCUUGAGGGCCAGGGAAUGGAAUGUGGUGGUUGGAAAGAAAAUGGCCCCCAAAUGGAGUGGUUCUAAUAAGAGGUAUGGCCUUGUUGGAGUACGUGUGGUAUUGUGGGAGGAAGUGUGUCUCUGUAGAGGCAGGCUUUGAGGUCUCAUAUCCUCUAAAGCCACACCCAGUGAGACAGACCAGUUCCUGUUGUCUGAGGGUGAAGCUACAAGAACCCUUACCGCCUUCUCCAGCACCAUGUCUGCCUACAUGUUGCCUUGCUUCCCACCAUGAUGAUAAUGGACUAAACCUCUGAGCUGGAAGCAAGC